RNAcentral lists this RNase P RNA (270 nucleotides) under Actinomycetota bacterium. Its description in RNAcentral is "Actinobacteria bacterium partial RNase P RNA component class A". It matches the Rfam family "Bacterial RNase P class A", at positions 126 to 367 of the family's 367-position model. Rfam says of the family: Ribonuclease P (RNase P) is a ubiquitous endoribonuclease, found in archaea, bacteria and eukarya as well as chloroplasts and mitochondria. Its best characterised activity is the generation of mature 5'-ends of tRNAs by cleaving the 5'-leader elements of precursor-tRNAs. Cellular RNase Ps are ribonucleoproteins. The record is from RNAcentral. Lineage: Bacteria; Bacillati; Actinomycetota.
CCCCCCCGGAGACAGGGGCAAGGGUGCAACGGUGAGGUAAGAGCUCACCAGCGGCCGGGUGACCGGCCGGCUGUGCAAACCCCACCCGGAGCAAGGCUAAGCAGGGAGCGGGCGGCCCGUCCAACGCUCCCGGGUAGGCUGCAAAGAGAGCCACGGCGACGUGGCGCUCGAGAGGGUCGCGGAGACGCGGCUCCCAGAGAGAUGGUCGCCGCCCGAGUCCGCUCCGGCGGGCUCGGGGCACAGAAUCCGGCUUACAGGCCGGCUCCUCUC